Molecule: transfer RNA, 57 nt
Filed under: Ovis aries (sheep)
Lineage: Eukaryota; Metazoa; Chordata; Mammalia; Artiodactyla; Bovidae
Rfam family: tRNA
About the family: Transfer RNA (tRNA) molecules are approximately 80 nucleotides in length. Their secondary structure includes four short double-helical elements and three loops (D, anti-codon, and T loops). Further hydrogen bonds mediate the characteristic L-shaped molecular structure. tRNAs have two regions of fundamental functional importance: the anti-codon, which is responsible for specific mRNA codon recognition, and the 3' end, to which the tRNAs corresponding amino acid is attached (by aminoacyl-tRNA synthetases). tRNAs cope with the degeneracy of the genetic code in two manners: having more than one tRNA (with a specific anti-codon) for a particular amino acid; and 'wobble' base-pairing, i.e. permitting non-standard base-pairing at the 3rd anti-codon position.
Source: Rfam by way of RNAcentral
UGGCUCAGACAGUAAAGAACCUGCCUGAAAUGCAGGAAACCUAGGUUCAAUCCCUAG